Molecule: ribosomal RNA, 436 nt
Filed under: Phorcus atratus
Lineage: Eukaryota; Metazoa; Mollusca; Gastropoda; Trochida; Trochidae
Description: partial 16S ribosomal RNA
Rfam family: Bacterial large subunit ribosomal RNA
Source: RNAcentral
AAACGGCCGCGGUACCCUAACCGUGCAAAGGUAGCAUAAUCAUUUGCCUUUUAAUUGGAGGCUGGUAUGAAUGGUUUGACGAGAGCUAUGCUGUCUCCUUCGAAAUAUUUAAAAAUUAACUUUUAGGUAAAGAGGCCUAAAUUUGUUUAAGGGACAAGAAGACCCUGUUGAGCUUUAGCGAUCUUGUAAAUUUUUGUGUAGUUUGCUUAUAUUUGUAUAUUUAUAUAUAACAUAAGUUUAUAGGUAAUCUUUAGUUGGGGCGACUGAGGAACAUGAAAAGCUUCCUUGAACUUAAGAGUGUGUUAAACAAUUAGUUUAUUGAUGCGUUUAUGUUAAUUUUGAUCCAAUUUAUUUUGAUUAAGAGAAAAAGUUACCACAGGGAUAACAGCGUAAUCUUUCUGGAGAGAUCUAAUCGAAAGAAGGGUUUGCGACCUCG